UACGUAGGGUGCGAGCGUUGUCCGGAAUUAUUGGGCGUAAAGGGCUCGUAGGCGGUCUGUCGCGUCCGUUGUGAAAACUCGAGGCUCAACCUCGGGCUUGCAGUGGAUACGGGCAGACUAGAGUGCGGUAGGGGAGACUGGAAUUCCUGGUGUAGCGGUGGAAUGCGUAGAGAUCAGGAGGAACACCCGUGGCGAAGGCGGCUCCCUGGUCCGUUUCUGACGCUGAGACGCGAAAGCGCGGGGGAGCGAACGGGG
RNAcentral lists this ribosomal RNA (255 nucleotides) under uncultured bacterium. RNAcentral's name for it is "partial 16S ribosomal RNA". It matches the Rfam family "Bacterial small subunit ribosomal RNA", at positions 524 to 777 of the family's 1533-position model. The record is from RNAcentral.